GGUGGCUCAGUGGUAGAGCGCUUGCCUCGCAUGCAUGAGGCCCUGGGUUCAAUUCCUCUAGCACCA
This 66-nucleotide transfer RNA is filed under the name Dipodomys ordii (Ord's kangaroo rat). It matches the Rfam family "tRNA". From Rfam's summary of the family: Transfer RNA (tRNA) molecules are approximately 80 nucleotides in length. Their secondary structure includes four short double-helical elements and three loops (D, anti-codon, and T loops). The record is from Rfam by way of RNAcentral. Lineage: Eukaryota; Metazoa; Chordata; Mammalia; Rodentia; Heteromyidae.